Balaenoptera ricei (Rice's whale) is the source of this 670-nucleotide long non-coding RNA. RefSeq lists it as uncharacterized. The record is from RefSeq and is a predicted model, not a curated record. The transcript is spliced from 3 exons. Lineage: Eukaryota; Metazoa; Chordata; Mammalia; Artiodactyla; Balaenopteridae.
UUGAUAAAGGGCUAGAAAUCCAGGAACUCGCGCCUGCCUUCUCCGGCCAAGCCAGAGCUGCCCCUCCCACCGCUCCUGCUUUCUCCGGGAGAAGCGGGGAUCUUGCCCGAGGGCUCAGAGAUGCGGUGGGCUGGCUUUGCCCUGGAGUGAGUGGAUGGAUCCUUCCCCGAGAGCCGGGCUACAGAAAGCUCCCCCGCAAUCCGCGUAGCGCAGAGCUGUGGAAUCCUCCCGGCGCCGAGCGCACUGGGCAAGGCCCUUUGACCUGGAGUCGGUGUUCCGCUUGGCCCCGGGGCUGCUACAGGCCGUCAAGCUCUACCUGCAGAGGCAGCGGAUGCUUCGAGACUUGCGCCCCUUCCUCUGGCCCCCCACGCACUGGUUCUACAGGCAUCACAAGAUCCCAAGUCCAAGUUCCUGUAUGAGUUCAUGGUUCCAUGCCUUGUUGAGGCGUGCAAGCUCAGUAGUUGUGGUGCGCAGGCUUAGUUGCCCUGUGGCAUUUGGGAUCUUUGCUCCCCGACCAGGGAUGGAACCCGAGUCCCCUGCAUUGGAAGGUGGAUUCUCUACCGCUGGACCACCAGGGAAGUCCCAACAAUACUGUACUGUGCACUUAAAAACUUAAGUGGGUAGAUUUCAAGUUAAGUAUUCUUACCACAAUUUUAAAAAAUAAAAGAAG